GGGAAUUCCAUCACCUUUUUUCUCCAAUUCCACCAUACACAUUACACACAUUACAAACUCCAUCCACACUUUUUUUUGGAGAAAAAAGUCAGAUUAAUCGUUGCUGCCACAGAUGAAGAUCUUCAGCUGGAUUCGAAGCAAACGCAAUGGCAACGAAGGCAGCAACACGAAGCCCAAUCCACAACCAAAAUCACAUGAGAAGAAGAUCACCUGCAACGAAGAAUUCUCCGAUUGGCCGAACGCGCUGCUGGCGAUCGGCACAUUCGGAAACAACGCGAAUCCGAAAAAUCGCGACAAAGUGGAU
Non-coding RNA from Salvia hispanica, 304 nucleotides. Lineage: Eukaryota; Viridiplantae; Streptophyta; Magnoliopsida; Lamiales; Lamiaceae. The record is from RefSeq and is a predicted model, not a curated record.